Molecule: ribosomal RNA, 482 nt
Filed under: uncultured bacterium
Lineage: Bacteria
Description: bacterial SSU rRNA
Rfam family: Bacterial small subunit ribosomal RNA
Source: RNAcentral
CGCUGGCGGCGUGCUUAACACAUGCAAGUCGAACGAAUACUUAAAAGAAGUCUUCGGAUGGAAAAUAAAGUAGUUAGUGGCGGACGGGUGAGUAACGCGUGGGAAACCUGCCCUAUACAGGGGGAUAGCCUCGGGAAACCGGGAUUAAUACCCCAUAAAGCUCUAGAAUCGCAUGAUUCAAGAGUCAAAACUCCGGUGGUAUAGGAUGGUCCCGCGUCCCAUUAGCUAGUUGGUGAGGUAACGGCCCACCAAGGCGACGAUGGGUAGCCGGCCUGAGAGGGUGAACGGCCACACUGGAACUGAGACACGGUCCAGACUCCUACGGGAGGCAGCAGUGGGGAAUAUUGCACAAAGUGGGGGAAACCCUGAUGCAGCGACGCCGCGUGAGCGAAGAAGGCCUUCGGGUCGUAAAGCUCUGUCCUAAGGGAAGAAAAGACGGUACCUUAGGAGGAAGCCCCGGCUAACUACGUGCCAGCCGCAGC